Molecule: ribosomal RNA, 632 nt
Filed under: uncultured archaeon
Lineage: Archaea
Description: bacterial SSU rRNA
Rfam family: Archaeal small subunit ribosomal RNA
Source: RNAcentral
CCCUUGGUUGAUCCUGCCGGAGGCCAUUGCUAUCAGGGUUUGACUAAGCCAUGCGAGUCGAGAGGUGUAAGACCUCGGCAUACUGCUCAGUAACACGUGGUUAACCUGCCCUAAGGUGGAGCAUACUCCCGGGAAACUGGGGCUAAUUCUCCAUAGUGGAUGUAUCCUGGAAUGGUAUAUCCUCGAAAGAUCCGUCGCCUUAGGAUGGGACUGCGUCCGAUUAGGUUGUUGGCGGGGUAACGGCCCACCAAGCCAUUGAUCGGUACGGGUUGUGGGAGCAAGAUCCCGGAGAUGGAUUCUGAGACAUGAAUCCAGGCCCUACGGGGCGCAGCAGGCGCGCAAACUUUACAAUGCGAGCAAUCGUGAUAAGGAAACCCUGAGUGCCUGUCGAUGCAGGCUGUUCAUAUAUCUAAAUCAUAUGUGAAGAAAGGGCAGGGCAAGACCGGUGCCAGCCGCCGCGGUAAUACCGGCUGCUCGAGUGAUGGCCACUAUUACUGGGUUUAAAGCGUCCGUAGCUUGACUGUUAGGUCUCUUGGGAAAUCUUCGCGCUCAACGUGAAGGCGUCUAAGAGAUACCGGCAGUCUUGGAACUGGGAGAGGUAUACCGUACUUCGGGGGUAGGAGUGAAAUCUU